AUUAGAGUUUGAUCCUGGCUCAGAACGAACGCUGGCGGCGUGGAUAAGACAUGCAAGUCGAACGCUAAUCAUUCUGUAGCAAUACAGGAUGGUUGGAGUGGCGCAAGGGUGUGUAACACGUGGGUAAUUUGCCGUGAAGUUGGGGAUAACUCGCUGAAAGGCGAGCUAAUACCGGAUGUGGUGAUUGGGAGGCAUCUUUUGAUCACUAAAGUUGGGGACCGCAAGGCCUGACGCUUUACGAUAAGCCCGCGGCCUAUCAGCUAGUUGGUGAGGUAAUGGCUCACCAAGGCUAAGACGGGUAGCUGGUCUGAGAGGACGACCAGCCACACUGGAACUGAGACACGGUCCAGACACCUACGGGUGGCAGCAGUCGAGAAUUUUUCUCAAUGGGCGAAAGCCUGAAGGAGCGACGCCGCGUGGGGGAUGAAGGGCUUCGGUCCGUAAACCCCUGUCAUUUGCGAACAAACCUUAUGAUUGAACAGGUCAUGAGCUGAUUGUAGCGAAAGAGGAAGGGACGGCUAACUCUGUGCCAGCAGCCGCGGUAAUACAGAGGUCCCGAGCGUUGUUCGGAUUCACUGGGCGUAAAGGGUGCGUAGUGGCGGGGUAAGUUUGAUGUGAAAUCUCCGGGCUUAACCCGGAAACUGCAUUGAAUACUAUUCUGCUCGAGGUUUGGAGGGGGGACUGGAAUUCUCGGUGUAGCAGUGAAAUGCGUAGAUAUCGAGAGGAACACCAGUGGCGAAGGCGAGUCCCUGGACAACACCUGACACUGAGGCACGAAAGCUAGGGGAGCAAACAGGAUUAGAUACCCUGGUAGUCCUAGCUGUAAACGGUGCACAUUUGCUGUAAAAGGAAUCGACCCCUUUUGUGGCGAAGCUAACGCGAUAAAUGUGCCGCCUGGGAAGUACGGUCGCAAGAUUAAAACUCAAAGAAAUUGACGGGGGCCUGCACAAGCGGUGGAGUAUGUGGCUUAAUUCGAUGCAACGCGAAGAACCUUACCUGGCCUUGACAUGCAUGUAGUAGGAGCUUGAAAGAGUAACGAGGUAGCAAUACCAGCAUGCACAGGUGCUGCAUGGCUGUCGUCAGCUCGUGUCGUGAGGUGUUGGGUUAAGUCCCGCAACGAGCGCAACCCUCACCUUCAGUUGCCAGCGGUUUGGCCGGGCACUCUGAAGGAACUGCCGGUGACAAGCCGGAGGAAGGCGGGGAUGACGUCAAGUCCUCAUGGCCCUUACGGGCUGGGCUACACACGUGCUACAAUGGCGGUGACAGUGGGAUGCGAGCGUGCGAACGCAAGCCGAUCCCCAAAAACCGUCUCAGUUCAGAUUGCACUCUGCAGCUCGGGUGCAUGAAGGCGGAAUCGCUAGUAAUCGCGGAUCAGCAUGCCGCGGUGAAUACGUUCCCGGGCCUUGUACACACCGCCCGUCACACCAUGGGAGUUGGUUUUACCUUAAGCCGGUGCGCAAACCGCAAGGAUGCAGCCGUCCACGGUAAGGUCAGCGACUGGGGUGAAGUCGUAACAAGGUAACCAAU
This 1527-nucleotide ribosomal RNA is filed under the name uncultured soil bacterium. RNAcentral's name for it is "partial 16S ribosomal RNA". It matches the Rfam family "Bacterial small subunit ribosomal RNA". The record is from RNAcentral.